Eublepharis macularius is the source of this 141-nucleotide small nuclear RNA. RefSeq annotates it as U4 spliceosomal RNA. The transcript has a single exon. The record is from RefSeq and is a predicted model, not a curated record. Lineage: Eukaryota; Metazoa; Chordata; Lepidosauria; Squamata; Eublepharidae.
AACUUUGCGCAGUGGCGAUAUCGUAGCCUAUGAGGUUAAACCGAGGUGCGGUUAUUGCUGAUUGAAAACUUUUCCCAAUGCCCCGCCGUGGCGACUUGCAACACAGUCGGCGCUGGCAAUUUUUGAGCGUCUCUCCGGAGG